Pyrenophora tritici-repentis Pt-1C-BFP is the source of this 142-nucleotide non-coding RNA. NCBI's taxonomy places the organism in Eukaryota, Fungi, Ascomycota, Dothideomycetes, Pleosporales, Pleosporaceae. The record is from the annotation of a RefSeq genome assembly.
UCUUCGAUGGUCUAGUGGUCAUGAUUUCCGGUUCGUUCAGCUGCAGCCUACAUCUGCAUUGCACACCUACUAACAGGUAGCCAGCUUGUCAUGUCUUUGGAUACCCACGCGGGAGACCGGGGUUCGAUUCCCCGUCGGAGAG